RNAcentral lists this ribosomal RNA (109 nucleotides) under Sporodictyon terrestre. RNAcentral's name for it is "5.8S ribosomal RNA". It matches the Rfam family "5.8S ribosomal RNA", at positions 1 to 108 of the family's 154-position model. From Rfam's summary of the family: 5.8S ribosomal RNA (5.8S rRNA) is a component of the large subunit of the eukaryotic ribosome. It is transcribed by RNA polymerase I as part of the 45S precursor that also contains 18S and 28S rRNA. The record is from RNAcentral. Lineage: Eukaryota; Fungi; Ascomycota; Eurotiomycetes; Verrucariales; Verrucariaceae.
AAACUUUCAACAACGGAUCUCUUGGUUCUGGCAUCGAUGAAGAACGCAGCGAAAUGCGAUAAGUAAUGCGAAUUGCAGAAUUCCGUGAGUCAUCGAAUCUUUGAACGCA